GAGGAUCAGUGUCAUUCUAACCGCACAUUCCUUCAUCCAAAGGUCGAAAACCUAAUAGCAAGUGGUUGGUACUAUUAAUAACAUAGUAGACUAUAUAUAUAUAUAUAUAUAUAUAUAUAUAUAUAUAGAGAGAGAGAGAGAGAGAGAGAGAGAGAGAGAGAGAGAGCAGGGCUGCUCUGCUCUCAGGGGCAUGGAGGCCUCCGUGCUCCUGAGCCGUUUUCGAUGAUGAAAUUUUCGACUCGACGAUCAGCUCCGUUAGACUUGAUCUAGGGUAUUUGAAGUUUCUAGCAAAUAAUUUUUGCGAUUUUUUGAUAUUAUUUACCUAGUGAUCGAAAGAAUUCAAAAUCAAUAAUUUUUUUAAUGGUUGAUAUUUGCCGUUCUCAAGUUUAACGGUGUAGAAGUAUUCAAAUCAGAUGAAAUUUUGAUACAAAAUUCUUUAUACUAUCUACAACAAGAUCAAUAUUUCUGAUCAAAAAUUUUAGUGCUAUAUCACCACUUUUUAUAGAAUUUUUAUUUUCAGCCGUUAAAAAUUAUUGAUUUUGAAUCCUUUCGAUUGUUAGGUAAAUGAUAUCGAAAAAUCGUAAAAAUUAUUUUAUAGAAACUUCAAAUACGCUAAAUCAAGUCUAACGAGCCGAUUGUCGAUUCGAAAAUUCUAUCAUUGAAAACGGCUAAGGAGCACGGAGGCCUUCGUGCUCCUGAGAGCACAGCAGUCUUGCUAUAUAUAUAUAUAUAUAUAUAUAGAGAGAGAGAGAGAGAGAGAGAGAGAGAGAGAGAGAGAGAGAGAGUCCAGUUAUGGUGCUUGUAAAAGUACCAAGCAUUUGGUGCUUGUAAGUUUUUUACCGUUAGAUCUACUCCUCGGAUCAUUUCCAACCAUUAGAUUAUACUAUUCAACCAACCACCCACUCAACCCUAGGGGGCCCAUAUCAUCCUAACCGCAUAUCUCUUAAUCCAAUGGCUAAAAAUCUACAAGCACCAAUAACUUGGUACUUUUAAAAGCAUAGAAGCUCAAUUAUAUAUAUAUA
This 1022-nucleotide long non-coding RNA is filed under the name Ananas comosus (pineapple). Its description in RNAcentral is "long non-coding RNA (ACOM_LNC037063)". Lineage: Eukaryota; Viridiplantae; Streptophyta; Magnoliopsida; Poales; Bromeliaceae. The record is from RNAcentral.